RNAcentral lists this ribosomal RNA (465 nucleotides) under uncultured bacterium. Its description in RNAcentral is "partial 16S ribosomal RNA". It matches the Rfam family "Bacterial small subunit ribosomal RNA", at positions 28 to 507 of the family's 1533-position model. The record is from RNAcentral.
GACGAAUGCUGGCGGCGUGCUUAACACAUGCAAGUCGAACGGAAAGGCCCUGCUUGCAGGGUACUCGAGUGGCGAACGGGUGAGUAACACGUGGGUGAUCUGCCCUGCACUUCGGGAUAAGCCUGGGAAACUGGGUCUAAUACCGGAUAGGAGCCAUUUUUAGUGUGAUGGUUGGAAAGUUUUUUCGGUGUAGGAUGAGCUCGCGGCCUAUCAGCUUGUUGGUGGGGUAAUGGCCUACCAAGGCGGCGACGGGUAGCCGGCCUGAGAGGGUGGACGGCCACAUUGGGACUGAGAUACGGCCCAGACUCCUACGGGAGGCAGCAGUGGGGAAUAUUGCACAAUGGGCGCAAGCCUGAUGCAGCGACGCCGCGUGGGGGAUGACGGCCUUCGGGUUGUAAACUCCUUUCGCUAGGGACGAAGCUUUUUGUGACGGUACCUAGAUAAGAAGCACCGGCUAACUACGUG